GGAGAGGUGGCCGAGAGGUUGAAAGCGUCGGAUUGCUAAUCCGUUGUACAAUGCUUUGUACCGAGGGUUCGAAUCCCUCUCUCUCCU
This 87-nucleotide transfer RNA is filed under the name Trichomanes speciosum. RNAcentral's name for it is "Vandenboschia speciosa tRNA-Ser". It matches the Rfam family "tRNA". From Rfam's summary of the family: Transfer RNA (tRNA) molecules are approximately 80 nucleotides in length. Their secondary structure includes four short double-helical elements and three loops (D, anti-codon, and T loops). The record is from RNAcentral. Lineage: Eukaryota; Viridiplantae; Streptophyta; Polypodiopsida; Hymenophyllales; Hymenophyllaceae. RNAcentral also lists the same sequence under 5 other names.